Long non-coding RNA from Ctenopharyngodon idella (grass carp), 654 nucleotides. RefSeq lists it as uncharacterized. NCBI's taxonomy places the organism in Eukaryota, Metazoa, Chordata, Actinopteri, Cypriniformes, Xenocyprididae. The record is from RefSeq and is a predicted model, not a curated record. The transcript is spliced from 6 exons.
AUCUGUGGUUUUCAGGAGUGAAAAAAUAAUUCUACAACACCGGAGGGGAAAGAGCUGCUGACAGAGGAGAAACUUUAUGAAACUCAGUUUGUAAGGUUCUGACAUCCAAAUGUAAGUAACACAGAGCAAUAUAAAAUGAAAUUCUUCCAUGCUGAUGGCCUGCACUCCUGUCGAAGAAAAUCUCAGGCUAAAAACCAUAUAACCAAUGAGAUGUGAUCCCCAGCGUUUGGCGCUGAGAUUCUUCAGGACAAGGCCUUGAUGCCAUGAAGAUGGUGCUGUGAGGAAAAACACGGUGACACAGUCAGCCACGGAUGUGGAGGUCACCAAGCACGCAAUCAGGUGGUUCAACCUGGCGGCGGAUCGGGCAGCGAGGAGACGUGUCCCGCCUCCAUCCACACAAAUGGAAAAAUAAGCAAUAAAUAACCUUUUUAUUGAACUUCUUGUCGUUCGCCAGUUAUUCAUUUUCUGAUAUUUUAGCUGUGCAUUUCAUUGAAGGUGUAGCCUAAUAGAUAAAAUAUUUUAUGUUUACACCGACCUAGGCCUAUAAAGCACUAAAUUAGGUUUUGACCACAAAAUGAAUGUAGAGUAGCCUCGCCAACGUAGGCUACUUAACAAAAACAGAAUAGGCUAUAACCAAUAACUUAACAUAAAUAU